Molecule: non-coding RNA, 114 nt
Organism: Acanthosepion pharaonis
Lineage: Eukaryota; Metazoa; Mollusca; Cephalopoda; Sepiida; Sepiidae
Source: the annotation of a GenBank genome assembly
UUACGGCCAUAUCGCGCUGAAACGCCGGUUACCAUAUGAUCACCGAAUUUAGGCAAAUUUGAGCCACGUAUGUACCUAGAUGGGUGAUCGCUUGAGAAAACCAGGUGAUGUAAG